Pelobates cultripes (western spadefoot toad) is the source of this 235-nucleotide non-coding RNA. NCBI's taxonomy places the organism in Eukaryota, Metazoa, Chordata, Amphibia, Anura, Pelobatidae. The record is from the annotation of a GenBank genome assembly.
GGGUGACACAGACAGAAGGGAGCUAUGGGACACGGAGUCUGUCCCUCCCACUGCAGGGUGACACAGACAGAAGGAGCUAUGGGACACGGAGUCUGUCCCUCUCACUGCAGGGUGACACAGACAGAAGGAGCUAUGGGACACAGAGUCUGUCCCUCCCACUGCAGGAUGACACAGACAGAAGGAGCUAUGGGACACACAGUCUGUCCCUCCCACUGCAGGGUGACACAGACAGAAG